RNAcentral lists this long non-coding RNA (1646 nucleotides) under Homo sapiens (human). RNAcentral's name for it is "non-protein coding lnc-NBAS-15:1". Lineage: Eukaryota; Metazoa; Chordata; Mammalia; Primates; Hominidae. The record is from RNAcentral.
UUUUUUUUUUUUUUUUUGGAAUGUACUUUGAGAAUAACAGCAUUUCAGGACUGGUUUUGUUUAAAGUAUACCCAGCCCCCCUCCUUAUUUUAUUUGAUUUUUGGUUUAAAUAAAAAUGUAGCAAAGCACUCUUUGAAGUAAAAGUACCUGUCUUUUCUUUUUUCUUUUUUUAAAUCAUAGUUUGUUUUACCUGAAAGUUGAGAAAGAAUGCAGUAUAAAUAUAGCUUUUCUCUACACGGGAGCAGGGGGAACAGAACCAAUCCCCAGCUUAGCCACACCCAACAUCAUGGAAAUUACUGUGAACCUGUUGUCUCUUGAGGACAACUAAAACCAAAACGAAAUCCCUAACAUUAUUAAAAUGUUAGGAAACUUUUCAGGUAAUUGCUGUAACUCUGGUAAAAUACAGAAAGAUUACAUUCACUCAUAAUAAAAAUCAAGUGUGCCCACGCCAUCUGCAAAGGGAACUUGCACCAUCUUGGUUUCACUCGCAUUGUUAACAGUGCCCUAAAAGUAUACACCUUUUUCAGGAUAAAACCAUUAGGUAAUAUCUUGAUCAUAUCCUCUGCAUGAUGAACUAUCACUCAAAUUAUUCUGUCAUGGGUUACCUUACUAACACUGACAAAGAGAUAAUAAAUGAUAAUUUUAACAGGGAUAGGAGAAACCUUGCAAACCUUUCAAGUUUCUUUCAUAACUAUUGUUUUAUUAUUGCAUAUUUUUAGAGGUAUUAUCAUCAACCUGAUCCUUUAUAGGCCAAUAUAGUAACAAAUGCUAAUUUAACUGCCCAGCUCAUUUUUAUUGUCAGUCUAGCCUCAGCAAGUAUAAAACUGACAAGACAUUCCUCUAUGAGAGUGACCCUCUUAGUGAGAGAGAAAUCUAUGUACCAUCAGAGGAAAUAAAUCUUAGUAUUCGGUGUGAUAGAGACUAAUUCAUUUCUUUUGAUGAAGUCCCACUCUUUGAGUGACUUUGAAGGGGGAGACAAAAUGUCAAGAAGGAGUCCUGCAGGAACAAGUGCUUAAGAUGGUGUUUAAUACAGCAGGGAGCCAAGAUACAGUAGUAGGACACAGUAAAGAAUGUGGAGUGUGUAGAUACAAUAAAGAAUUCAUUUUAUGAUCUGCCACCUGUUACUUGAAAGAGGAGUAAGUUAGGGAAAUAAAUGACUCAGUUCUUCAUACAUGCAAAGGUAAGUUAGUUAUUACAAAAGUUUUUGCUGUUGUUUGUGCUGAAAGAAAAGCAUAUGCAUUUAAACAUUUUUUAAAAAAUAAAUCACUCAAUAGGCUUAAGAAAAAUACUUUAGUUCAUAGUUCAUUGAUCUGACGUUUUGAUUUAAGAUCAGGGGAUGAAUCCAGGAUGAAAACCAAAGAAAAAAAAAGAAAAAGAAAGAAAAAUAUAGAAGUGAAUCAUUUACCAUGAAAAAGGCAUUUCCAGCCUCAGCUAACCUCAACUAGUUUUUAUUGCAUUAUUUUUGAAAUGCCAAGAAACUGGCUUUGGCCAUAAUACUUGCUGUCCAACAAAAUCACAGCUGUUAAUAUGCAAUUGCUUGCAACAAUUAGCUAAACAGCAUUAUUUGACAAAUUCCCUUGAAAGAGACAUAGAUGCUAUUUAAGUGUCUAGCACACUGAAUCAAGUAACUAUCAGUUAGGCUGGGG